UACGUAGGUGACCAGCGUUGUCCGGAUUUACUGGGCGUAAAGCGUGCGCAGGCGGCGCCGCAAGUCGCGUGUGAAAUCCCCGAGCUUAACUUGGGAAUUGCGCUCGAAACUACGAUGCUGGAGUGUGGCAGAGGGAGGUGGAAUUCCACGUGUAGCGGUGAAAUGCGUAGAGAUGUGGAGGAACACCGAUGGCGAAGGCAGCCUCCUGGGCCAACACUGACGCUCAUGCACGAAAGCGUGGGGAGCAAACAGG
This 253-nucleotide ribosomal RNA is filed under the name uncultured bacterium. RNAcentral describes it as "partial 16S ribosomal RNA". It matches the Rfam family "Bacterial small subunit ribosomal RNA", at positions 524 to 776 of the family's 1533-position model. The record is from RNAcentral.